AUGACUCAUGGGAGGAAGGUGGUGUACAGAGCGCCUUUUCUGCUUUUCCCAGGGUCGAAGCAGCAGCUGGCAGGUGAGUUGAGGGCAGCAGGUGGGAGGAGAGUCCGGGAGCAAGUCGGGCUGUUCGGUUCCCUCCACGGCCUGGAAGCAGAGAAGCAACUGGGCUGAAGCGUGUCAGCUGCUGCUGCUGCUGCAGGUUCCUUCCCUCCCCAAAUUUAAGCCCACCGGUGGCUUCAAUUUUCCUUCUGACAAAGAAGAUGGCAAUAAGAGCUACUCAGGACAGCUGCAAAUAACAAGCAACAUUGAAAAGGGAAGUAAAUCAAGCCAGAAAUCAAAAUAUUUCCCAUUUCAUUCA
Molecule: non-coding RNA, 355 nt
Organism: Pseudonaja textilis
Lineage: Eukaryota; Metazoa; Chordata; Lepidosauria; Squamata; Elapidae
Source: RefSeq, a predicted model, not a curated record